UCGUGGGGUGACUUGUCUGCUUAAUUGCGAUAACGAACGAGACCUUCAUCUACUAAAUAGCCAGGCUAGCUUUGGCUGGUCGCCGGCUUCUUAGAGAGACUUUCGGCUCAAGCCGAAGGAAGUUGGAGGUAAUAACA
RNAcentral lists this ribosomal RNA (137 nucleotides) under uncultured eukaryote. RNAcentral's name for it is "partial 18S ribosomal RNA". It matches the Rfam family "Eukaryotic small subunit ribosomal RNA", at positions 1299 to 1458 of the family's 1831-position model. The record is from RNAcentral.